UUUUCCCAUGUCCUGAAACUUCCUGUUCUGUUUUCUGGACUCUCAGUAGGAUUCAGUCCCCCUGGGCUUGGCCUUCACCAGAGAUAGAAUCACUUUCAGCUGGUACUGCUCAGUUGCAUUUAGCUGCCAGUCUCCAUUGUUCAUUUCCAUCCAACUGUUUGGAGGUCCAUCCAAACAAUUAUUUUCUAGGCAUAAUGUAUAAGAAUUUAUAAUAGUGAGGGAUCCAUCUCUGGGAAAACUCCAUUCAGGUGGAACAUGAGAUCUUAUAGGCAUGAAUUAGAAGUCAAGAAAAAAAAAAGAGAUAGCUAAGUUGUGCUUGGACUUAGCAGUAAAAGAUAUUUGAUGGUGGGGAUGGGCAAGCAAAAGACAGAGACAAUGAAAAGGAACUGGUAGGCAAGCAACCUGAAAGAUGGCCAGAUGACUUUAAGAAGGGGUAUAUCUAAUAGUCUAUUUACCUUACCUUUUUUAUUUUUUUUCUUUUACAUUGCCGUGUUGUUAGUCUAUCAGCAGAUGAUCAAGAAUAUCCUAGAUGACAUCUGAAUGACAUAUUUAUUAAGCAUACAUUUGAGGAGCACUGCAGUAUACCUCGUGGUGCUGGUGAUCAUCAAUACACUUACAACACAGAGGACAGGUCCCUAACCUAGAUUGGGGGAGCAUGCUGGGAUCUCAGGUAGUCUUCCUGAAAAGGGAAUGCCUGAAGGUAUUAUGAGGUCCUACUGCACAGCACAGGGAACUAUAUACAAUCUCUUGGGAUAGAACAUGAUGGAAGGUAGUAUGAGAAAAAGAAUGUAUAUAUAUGUAUGACUGGGUCACUAUGCUGUACAGUGGAAAUUGGCACAAGAAUGUAAAUCAACUGUACUUUAAUAAAAAAUUUAAAAAAAAGAAUGAGUAUGAAUUAAAUAGUGAAGAAGGGAAGGGGUGUUUUCACCUAGACAUGGAGGUGAGAGAAAAGUGUAGGUGGUUCUGUGAAGCAGGAGGGUGGGGCAUACUGAAUCAUUCAUGACCCAGAUCCCGUUAAUCAGCUCAAGCUGUUGGGUAUGUCCUCAUGUGGCCUUUCCUCAUGCACAUGCAGAGAUAGAGACGGAGAAAAACCUCUUUCUCUUCUUAUAAAGUCCCAGUCCUCUCAGGUUAGGACCACACCCUAAUGACCUCAUUUAAUAAGAAUUAUUUCCGAAAAGGCCUAUUUCCAAAUAUAGUCACGCUGAAGGUGAGGGCUUCAGCAUUUGAGUUUUAGGGGAGACACAGUUCAGUUCAUAGCACCAAUCAUGUUGAAUUUGUUAUGAUUUGCCAAGGAUUUUGAACUUUAAGGAAGAGGGAACUAUUGUAAGGGGAGUUAAAUAAUAAUCAUAAUGAUACAGCAAUAUUAUAGUGAUGAUUAUUAUAAAUUAUAAGAACUGUACCUUAUGGCAUUCUUCCAAUGUGGCAGACACUGUUUUAACUGGUUCACAUGUAUUAAAUUUUGUUUUGUGAAUCGUCCCAAUACCUUUUGAGUAUUAAAUAGUAUUGUGAGACUGUUUUAUAAAUGUUGAAACUGAGCCACAGAACCUCCCCCAAAGCCUUGUCCAAGGACCAGGUUUGAAUCUAAGAAGGUCCAUGCUGAUUCUGUCAUUUGUUUAUUUAUUCAGAACACAUUUAUCUCAAGCUCUGUAACACUGCCAAAUUAAAGAUAAGCCCUAGUGGAAUUUAGGAACAAACAUUGGAAGCAGAGAUAGUAGAGAAGCAAGAAGUGCAUUUGUAUAUUUAUAAUUUGUGAUGAUGAGUGCAAAGUGUGGAGAAUCGACUUGAAAGAAGAGUGACCAGAAGCAGGGGGCAAGUUAUGAGAGUAUGGAGGAAAUACAGGUGGCUGACAAAUGUCCAGAAUUUAGACCAGAGCAUGCACUAAUAGAAGGCAUGGCCAGGUAUGGCCAAGCAGAGGAAGUUUGAUAUAGAUUUAUUUAGAAAGAAAACUUGCUAAUGUCAUUCGGGUCUUCCUUUGCGGUCCUCUGAAAUCCUGGGGAGCAGGGGGAAGGUAAGUCAGAACUUGUCUGGUUCAUAUUUUUAUUCAACUAUGACAUCAGCUAUGGCAUUGGAGAAUGUUUGUAUCUCCAGCUAGCUCAAAUGGAUUAUAUUUUGAUCAAGGCUUUACCAUAUCUCCCUUUUUAAUAUUAAAAAUAUCAUCCAAGUUUUAUUGCUCCGUAUGUAACUUCUCUUAUGCAGUUUGUUUCACAUUCUCUUCGUUAAAGCAUCCUCUGUUUGUAAUAUGUAUUCAAAGCAAACCAUGGAGAUCUGUGUUUUAAAUUCAUUCUUGGGUGCCUCAUCUUUUUGUGAGCUUGCAACCUGUAAUGUCAUGGAUUUCCCCCAAUACAGCACAUCUUGACUAUAUUGGUGUUAUUUGGGUCCUCACCCAUUUCUGCCAUCAUUUGGCCAAUCAUGUAAGUAAGUCCUACAUUCAACAGUAAAAGUAAGAAAACAAAAUAUUCUGAAACAAAAGAGAGUUCCACUCCUGUCUAUGUUUAAUAUACACAAAAGGCCAAGAGCUUAAAAUGCUGUAAGAGGACAUCCUCCAGGAGAACAGAAGAGAAGAAAUAAGAUAUGUCAUUGAUCCUAAUAGCACAUUUACUUCCCUGCAGUUUAAUGCUUCUGAAAUGGACUUUGGACGUGGAUCUUACAUCUGAUUGCCUCAUGGAGUUAAAGAAACACAUUUACCCCCUUUGGUGCCAGACUUCCACCACUUAAAUGAUGAAUCCAGAAUUAACAGCUCCUCUAAUUAAAAUGAAAGCCCCCCUCAUCAGAGCUCAUCUCAAUUUGGACUAGCCGCAUUUUAAGUAUGUAAGAGUCAUAUGUGGCCUUGUGGCUGCAGAAGUGGACAGAACAGCUCUUUAACGUCCAAUGCAUUCAUAGGCUGUUAAGAGGAUGUCAUUCUCCUUCUCCUUCCAGGAAAAUCAAGAUAACUGCUUUUCCUUUAUUUUAUUGGAUUCAAGCAACCAUGUGAAAAGAUAUGUAAUCACCAAGUAAAUAUUGACCAGGACAUGACUGAAAAGAGCAAGGGGUUAGCAGAUGCCAAUUUUAUGGAGAAUUUCUUCCAUAUCAUCUAACAUUAUCUUGGUGUUGCCUGCUCUGCAUUCUGCAUCCAGCAGGGAACUGGCUUAUGAAUUUGUGGGCCUGGUUCAACAAGGCUGUUGUCUUCACAUCUUAUGCUGGGGCUUGAUGUCCACAGUGGGCCUAUAGGAAGGGAGGCUCACGAGCAGGCUGGAACCCCCAGAAUGAACUCAAAUCCUGUUUGCUCCUGUUGGCUUUGACUUUACCGAUGAGUAUGUCCUGCAGAAGCUGGGGCCCUUCAUCAGAGGGUUAAACCCAGGCACCUGGCCGCAGAGUUGAAGACACUGAAGGAGGAUCCAGGUAACAGGAUUAUGUUGUUGGGAAAUAGAAAAUGUUCCAACAGAAAUUCUUUACUGAGGUGAGCAGUGCCUUCCAGCAGCCCAUGCCGAAAUGAAGCUGAGUCUCUACGUAGUUGCUCUACCUGUCCAAAUACUGCAUCUGUGAUUCUGGCAUUGAUAUUUCAGGUAAGCUAAAGUGGCAUAAACUAACUGUGAGAUAAGCAAAGAGAGGUGGGAAAGACCUUUGUCUGGGCCACACGUUGUGGGCACGACCGUGAGUUUAGGGGUACACAAUUUGUAACUGGACUUGUUUUUAAAAACCUCUGGUUUUAGCAUUCGAUAUCCUGAUUGUGAAGCCCAUGGAGCAUUUUAAUGCCUUUGCCAGAAGUGCUGGUGUUGUUUGCCCUCCAUUUUGUUUCAAGUGUCAUUAGGAAAGGUUUAAAUGAUGUGCCUGACAUAACCCUCCUGCCUGUGGAGAGAUCAGAGAUGUGCUGUGAGCCUGGUGAUAGCAGGAGAGAAUGCUCUGAACCAUUUUUAUAUGCUUUGUUUCGAUUGGUUGAUGGUUUGGCUUCUCAGGCUGCUGAGGCUGCAAAAGGAGUAAGGGGAACAAACCAGCCACUAAAUUUUGAAAUACCGAGGAGGUCAGAGAAGCUGGGGUUAUUAUCAUCUCUCAGUGAGCACAUAAAGCAUUAAACUUUUUCGGUCUCAUUUUUGUGACAGAGAUUUUGACAAGAACAUAAAAUAAAAACCUCACAAAUUCAUGCUGCCGACAAUGAUUAUAACACGACCCCGGAAUGGUAUUAAAUGUCAACAUUUCUUGAAUCAAUUUGAAGAUAGUGAUCGGGCAGACCUCCACAGACACUGCAAAUGAUUCCAGUAAAAUUUCUCCCUUUCUGAUUUUAAUAUUGUAAGAAGUGAAAGGAUUUCAAUAUCACAUGUGACGAAAAAGGAUUUUAAACUCACCAUUGAAUUCUGAGGAGUAAUAGAUUUUCACGGAAUUAUAAGGCUUGUUUCUGAAUCCUCCUGCAAAGUACAUAAAACAAGCCCAAUAAUUUCUAGAGAUCCUCACAUCAUAGCAUUUUACUUCAAAUUAACCUCGUGGUUUUUGAUAAUUUAAAAAUACUAAAUCUUAAUUUUUAAUUAGCCUCUCCUUAUCAAUGGCUUUUCAUGGAGUCAUUUUUGGUUAUAGAAUAAUGCUUUUGUGCAAAAUAUCCACAGCUCCUUUGGUCAUUGCAACCAAACAGACUCUUUUUAACCAUGUGAUAGACUCACCAGAUUAAUAGAAACCAGCAUUUUGGGUUCAAUUUGUACCAAGUAGAAAUUAAACACAACUUUGAAAAGCAUGAAAAAGUAGAAAGUGUACAUUAUUCUCAAUAUCUACAUCUUAAAAUUGCUUAAAAGGAAAGGAACGUGUUUAAACUGCUCAUUCUUGAUCCUAUGUUUCCUUGAGGAGUCCAAAGAGCCACUAGGUGUUGCUCUAAGAUAGCUUCCUAUAGACAAACCAGCAAAGUGCUUUAUGAUCUUAAGAUUUCAUCGGUCAUUAUAACUUGCUUAAAAAUGCUAAGAUUAAAUCUGAGGCUUAGAAAAUUAGCUUUAACUAGUAUCAUGAUCAUCUAUUAAAAUACGUAGUGCAUACAUACAUACUCCCCCCCAAAAGCCUUGUAAAUGAAAAUCAAAUAUGAAAUCCUAUGUAAUACCAAUGGUUGUAUUCAUUUAAUACCAAAAUAAUCAGUUUAAGUGUGGCAAACACAACUACCUUUUUUGUUUACUUAUGCCUUCCCCAAGGCAAUGGUUGACAUUUCUGAAGUGAGGAAUUGUUCUAGCAUCAGGGGAAUGGAACCUCUGUUUUAGCCCAGGCUUUUUACUUUAUCAAGCAGCUUCCUCAAAAGGACUUUUGGAUCUGGGUAGUAUGAUACCCAUUUUCUCUCCCUUUCUCUCCCUCCCUCUCAGCUAAUAAUCCAGGAACCCAUCGGGUAUUCUGUGACAUUUGGCACACACAUGAAAUGAGUUUUCUGGGUUCAUUGAUGUUUCUCCAAAGUUGAAAACUACUCUGUGCCCUAGCUUGGCAAAUUUAGACUGAUCACCUCAAAAGCCUGGAUGAGAAUAUUAGAAAUGUUGCAAUAUAAAAGUGAGGUGAACUAGAAGAACUUCAGGGAAGGUACGGAAUAAUGCCUAGUUUCUGCACAUUUUUGUGGCUCUCCAUUUUACAGGGCUCUAUAGUUUUGUGAAGGAGAAAAGGACAAAAAUGCUGUUCUGGUAAACAGAACCAUGGCUAUAGCUUAAGAAAUGACCAGCGACGGUCUCUUUGAGCCUGUCAUUCAUGGUUUCUUACCUUUAAAUUAAUAUGAAGGAAUAUAAAAUGUUAAACUACAGUGGAUUAUAAUUUUGUUUCCACUCCAUUUUGUAAAUAAAAGGCUUAGUAAACUAUUUCCAAAAGACAUAGUAAAAAUCCUCCUGACACUGUUUUUGAUUUUGCAUCUUUGGUUAAGCUCAACCAGAGUCAAUGAAUCAAGGACUUAAUCUUUUUUCCCCUGUUUUUCUUUUUCAGCUGUACCUGCAACACAUGGAAUUUCCCGGGCCAAGGUUUGAACCUGCGCCUCAGCAGCAAUCAGAGCUGCCACAGAGACAACACUGGAUCCUUAACAUGCUGCUCCACAGUGGGAACUCCUUGACCUUGGAAGGAGUUAGGUCUGUUGAUCUAAUACCUUUUAUACCAUCAGUGAUUAUGCUAGACCAUCUAUUAAUAAAGUUUCUUUUCUGAGGAAUUAUAAAAUAGAAAGUUUGCAACUUAAAAAAUAUUGGAGCUGUAAACAAUGUCAUUUUUUGGGUCAUCUUAUGAUACAGUUAACCCUGAGUAAAAUAUUUCAACUGCGUUUGUAUAUAUCAACCUCAUUAAUAUAUUUGGGGAAAAAACAUUAGCAGAAAAUGUACAAAUGCUUGCUUAUCUUGGAAUUUGCCUGUAUUGAAUAAUUUUUGAAGACCAGGAAGUUUGCCAUAGUAACAUAGUCUUUAAGGAAACAGCUUUUUAGAAUCAGGGGGCUAGGGUUUGAAUCCUGACAUUUUCAAGCAGAUUAAUCCCUUUAAAUCUUCAGUUUCUCAGCCAUUAAAUCGGGAAAACUGUAGCAUUCAGGGUGUUGUUGUACGAAUUACAAAAAAUAAAACAUAUUAAGGAUUUGGCUUAGUGCCUGCAUGAUGGAAAAUAUCCAAUAAACAUUACAUUGAACUCUGUCCUUCUGUCUUUGUAUUUGGUCUCAAGGACAUUCACAGUGUUCUCCAGAAGUGACUGUCACAAUACAUUGGAAUUUAUCCUCUUUAAAGCACCAAUUGCCCUUUCUGAUUUACUCUUUAAUAGGAAAUCUUUUGAUAUAUAGUACAUAUUUUCAAUAUUUGCUGCUCUGAGUAUACCCAGCAUGGUUUAACCAUUUCUAGAUGGCUCAGUACUAAUAUAACGGAGAUGAGUUAUAAUAUUCUUGCUUUAGUAAAGGUAUCGUUCAGGCAUCAUUGCACAGGAGGGAUUUUUACAUUUUCUCUAGGCAAUGCCAUGUUAGUGUACUUUUGGGGUUCCUAUAUUUACUUUGCAAAAUUUUUCUGUCUUUUCUCUUAUGUGGAUUAUAAUUGGAAAUCAGAGUGAGAAGAGAAGUGAGACAAUGUAUAUAGCACAUAAUAUAGCCUUGGGAAAACACUUUCUAUGUUUGGGAAGCAGAAACUGAGAUCUGAUGAAAGGGAUGAGGUUGGUGCAUAAAGUCUCAUCUAUUUCCACUGCCACUCAUGGGCAUUUUUCGCUCACCUUUGGGAUGUUGGCUGAAUUCUGGAUGAUGGAGGUUUGAUAGGUGCUACCUCUGAUUCAAUAAAGUGUUACAUCUUUUCUUGCUCGAUCAAGUGUGAGACUUAACAUGUACUAAAUGAGAAGACAUUGCUGUUCCCUAGAAAUGCUACACCUCUGUCUUAAACUCUGGUAUCCCAUUCUUCGAACCUAAUCUCCAUCAUUCAAUCAUCUCCCUUCCCUUCCUCCUUUCUGCCUCUUUCUCAAAUCUUUUUGAACUUCUAGUGCUUCGAGACUUCAAGUUUUCUUCAUCACCAGCUUCUUUUGUUUUUACUUCUUCAUGAUCUCAUUGCUUAUAACUGCAUUGUCUUAAAAACUUUACUCCCUUACUUACCCUCUCCAUACUUCUAUUUUUUUCU
This is a non-coding RNA of Sus scrofa (pig), 7538 nucleotides long. Lineage: Eukaryota; Metazoa; Chordata; Mammalia; Artiodactyla; Suidae. The record is from RefSeq and is a predicted model, not a curated record.